RNAcentral lists this ribosomal RNA (253 nucleotides) under uncultured bacterium. RNAcentral describes it as "partial 16S ribosomal RNA". It matches the Rfam family "Bacterial small subunit ribosomal RNA", at positions 524 to 776 of the family's 1533-position model. The record is from RNAcentral.
UACAUGGGGUGCAAACGUUGCUCGGAAUUACUGGGCGUAAAGGGCGCGUAGGCGGAUAGUUUAGUCAGAGGUGAAAGCCCAGGGCUCAACCUUGGAACUGCCUUUGAUACUGGCUAUCUUGAGUUCGGGAGAGGUGAGUGGAAUGCCGAGUGUAGAGGUGAAAUUCGUAGAUAUUCGGCGGAACACCAGUGGCGAAGGCGACUCACUGGCCCGAUACUGACGCUGAGGCGCGAAAGCGUGGGGAGCAAACAGG